Molecule: ribosomal RNA, 918 nt
Filed under: Glutamicibacter arilaitensis
Lineage: Bacteria; Bacillati; Actinomycetota; Actinomycetes; Micrococcales; Micrococcaceae
Description: bacterial SSU rRNA
Rfam family: Bacterial small subunit ribosomal RNA
Source: RNAcentral
CCUGAUGCAGCGACGCCGCGUGAGGGAUGACGGCCUUCGGGUUGUAAACCUCUUUCAGUAGGGAAGAAGCGAAAGUGACGGUACCUGCAGAAGAAGCGCCGGCUAACUACGUGCCAGCAGCCGCGGUAAUACGUAGGGCGCAAGCGUUAUCCGGAUUUAUUGGGCGUAAAGAGCUCGUAGGCGGUUUGUCGCGUCUGCCGUGAAAGUCCGAGGCUCAACCUCGGAUCUGCGGUGGGUACGGGCAGACUAGAGUGAUGUAGGGGAGACUGGAAUUCCUGGUGUAGCGGUGAAAUGCGCAGAUAUCAGGAGGAACACCGAUGGCGAAGGCAGGUCUCUGGGCAUUUACUGACGCUGAGGAGCGAAAGCAUGGGGAGCGAACAGGAUUAGAUACCCUGGUAGUCCAUGCCGUAAACGUUGGGCACUAGGUGUGGGGGACAUUCCACGUUUUCCGCGCCGUAGCUAACGCAUUAAGUGCCCCGCCUGGGGAGUACGGCCGCAAGGCUAAAACUCAAAGGAAUUGACGGGGGCCCGCACAAGCGGCGGAGCAUGCGGAUUAAUUCGAUGCAACGCGAAGAACCUUACCAAGGCUUGACAUGUGCCAGACCGCUUCAGAGAUGGAGUUUCUCUUCGGGGCUGGUUCACAGGUGGUGCAUGGUUGUCGUCAGCUCGUGUCGUGAGAUGUUGGGUUAAGUCCCGCAACGAGCGCAACCCUCGUUCCAUGUUGCCAGCACGUAGUGGUGGGGACUCAUGGGAGACUGCCGGGGUCAACUCGGAGAAUGUGGGGAUGACGUCAAAUCAUCAUGCCCCUUAUGUCUUGGGCUUCACGCAUGCUACAAUGGCCGGUACAAUGGGUUGCGAUACUGUGAGGUGGAGCUAAUCCCUAAAAGCCGGUCUCAGUUCGGAUUGGGGUCUGCAACU